Molecule: non-coding RNA, 45 nt
Filed under: Trichobilharzia regenti
Lineage: Eukaryota; Metazoa; Platyhelminthes; Trematoda; Strigeidida; Schistosomatidae
Source: RNAcentral
AUCUAGGUGACGAGUCCAAGAUGAGACGAAAUGCUCAUCCUGGAU